RNAcentral lists this ribosomal RNA (253 nucleotides) under uncultured bacterium. Its description in RNAcentral is "partial 16S ribosomal RNA". It matches the Rfam family "Bacterial small subunit ribosomal RNA", at positions 524 to 776 of the family's 1533-position model. The record is from RNAcentral.
UACGUAGGGGGCAAGCGUUGUCCGGAAUCAUUGGGCGUAAAGAGCGUGUAGGCGGCCAGACAGGUCCGUUGUGAAAACUGGAGGCUUAACCUUCAGACGUCGAUGGAAACCGUCUGGCUAGAGUCCGGAAGAGGAGAGUGGAAUUCCUGGUGUAGCGGUGAAAUGCGCAGAUAUCAGGAAGAACACCCGUGGCUAAGGCGGCUCUCUAGUACGGUACUGACGCUGAGACGCGAAAGCGUGGGGAGCAAACAGG